CAGCCGCCGCGGGAAUACGGAGGGUGCAAGCGUUAAUCGGAAUUACUGGGCGUAAAGCGCACGCAGGCGGUCUGACAAGUCAGAUGUGAAAUCCCCGGGCUUAACCUGGGAACUGCAUUUGAAACUGUCAGGCUGGAGUCUUGUAGAGGGGGGUGGAAUUCCAGGUGUAGCGGUGAAAUGCGUAGAGAUCUGGAGGAAUACCGGUGGCGAAGGCGGCCCUCUGGACAAAGACUGACGCUCAGGUGCGAAAGCGUGGGGAGCAAACAGGAUUAGAUACCCGAGUAGUCCCUGUCUCUUAUAC
RNAcentral lists this ribosomal RNA (301 nucleotides) under uncultured bacterium. RNAcentral describes it as "partial 16S ribosomal RNA". It matches the Rfam family "Bacterial small subunit ribosomal RNA", at positions 509 to 807 of the family's 1533-position model. The record is from RNAcentral.